This 442-nucleotide ribosomal RNA is filed under the name uncultured bacterium. Its description in RNAcentral is "partial 16S ribosomal RNA". It matches the Rfam family "Bacterial small subunit ribosomal RNA", at positions 338 to 795 of the family's 1533-position model. The record is from RNAcentral.
CCUACGGGGUGCAGCAGUGGGGAAUAUUGGGUAAUGGGCGCAAGCCUGACCCAGCAAUGCCGCGUGAAGGAAGAAGGCUUUCGGGUUGUAAACUUCUUUGCCAGGGGACGAGCAGAAGACGGUACCCUGAAAACAAGCCACGGCUAACUACGUGCCAGCAGCCGCGGUAAUACGUAGGUGGCAAGCGUUGUCCGGAUUUACUGGGUGUAAAGGGCGUGUAGCCGGGAAGGCAAGUCAGAUGUGAAAUCUGGAGGCUGAACCUCCAAAUUGCAUUUGAAACUGUUUUUCUUGAGUACUGGAGAGGCAGACGGAAUUCCUUGUGUAGCGGUGAAAUGCGUAGAUAUAAGGAGGAACACCAGUGGCGAAGGCGGUCUGCUGGACAGCAACUGACGGUGAGGCGCGAAAGCGUGGGGAGCAAACAGGAUUAGACACCCUUGUAGUC